RNAcentral lists this small RNA (212 nucleotides) under Pan troglodytes (chimpanzee). RNAcentral's name for it is "processed transcript". Lineage: Eukaryota; Metazoa; Chordata; Mammalia; Primates; Hominidae. The record is from RNAcentral.
GAAUACAAACCAACAGACUGUAGACAUAUUCUGAACGCUGUCCUAGAUCACGUGAAGGCACAGCUUCAGAGCCACCAGGAGAGUUCCAGGCGCCGCGGCGGGGGGACUGGGAGAGAGGACUGCGCCCAGAAUGAAGGCUCGGGACAAAAGCAGUUGCGCAAACGCGCCAAGGCUGGGCGUCGAGUGACCGCGGGCGGAGGUCACCAGCGGCC